This 516-nucleotide ribosomal RNA is filed under the name uncultured bacterium. RNAcentral's name for it is "bacterial SSU rRNA". It matches the Rfam family "Bacterial small subunit ribosomal RNA", at positions 27 to 518 of the family's 1533-position model. The record is from RNAcentral.
GGACGAACGCUGGCGGCGUGCCUAAUACAUGCAAGUCGAACGGUCUUUCUAUGGAAGCUUGCUUCCACUGAGAAGAUAGUGGCGAACGGGUGAGUAACACGUGGGUAACCUGCCCAUAAGAGGGGGAUAACAUCCGGAACGGUGCUAAUACCACAUAGUUUUCUUGAUCGCAUGAUCGGGAAAGGAAAGACGGCCUUUGUGCUGUCGCUUAUGGAUGGACCCGCGGCGUAUUAGUUAGUUGGUGAGGUAACGGCUCACCAAGACGAUGAUACGUAGCCGACCUGAGAGGGUGAUCGGCCACAUUGGGACUGAGACACGGCCCAAACUCCUACGGGAGGCAGCAGUAGGGAAUCUUCCGCAAUGGACGAAAGUCUGACGGAGCAACGCCGCGUGAGUGAAGAAAGGUUUUCGGAUCGUAAAACUCUGUUGUCAGAGAAGAACAAGUUGGAGAGUAACUGCUCCAGCCUUGACGGUAUCUGACCAGAAAGCCACGGCUAACUACGUGCCAGCAGCCGC